Molecule: ribosomal RNA, 80 nt
Filed under: Staphylococcus aureus
Lineage: Bacteria; Bacillati; Bacillota; Bacilli; Caryophanales; Staphylococcaceae
Description: partial 16S ribosomal RNA
Rfam family: Bacterial small subunit ribosomal RNA
Source: RNAcentral
UUUUAUGGAGAGUUUGAUCCUGGCUCAGGAUGAACGCUGGCGGCGUGCCUAAUACAUGCAAGUCGAGCGAACGGACGAUA